RNAcentral lists this small RNA (694 nucleotides) under Pongo abelii (Sumatran orangutan). Its description in RNAcentral is "retained intron". The record is from RNAcentral. Lineage: Eukaryota; Metazoa; Chordata; Mammalia; Primates; Hominidae.
CUGAGAAUCUUGAAGUAAGUUAAAUAAUUGCAUAUCAAAGACACCAAACCAGAAUGGAAGAAAAUUUAAAACAUCUCAGAUAGAUAUGCUGAACUAUGUAGAUAUAGGGCCUUCAAGUAAGACAACGUAGCCUUAACCGCAACCAAGUGGUAUAGAAAGUCUAGAUAUUUUUAAUGUUGUAUCUUUUUUUCUGGUAUACAGGGAAAGCCAGAGAGCUGUGCAGUUACUCCUCGAUUUCCCAAAUCAAAAGAUGAAGGAUGGUUUUUGAUAUUAGGAGAAGUGGACAAGAGAGAACUUAUUGCUUUGAAAAGAGUAGGAUAUAUUCGAAAUCAUCAUGUUGCUUCCCUUUCUUUUUAUACCCCUGAAAUACCUGGAAGGUAUAUCUACACAUUAUAUUUCAUGAGUGACUGCUACCUUGGCCUGGACCAGCAGUAUGACAUCUAUCUCAACGUUACACAAGCGAGUCUUUCUGCACAGGUCAACACCAAGGUCUCUGAUUCCCUGACUGACCAGGCAUUAAAGUAACUUGACCUGAACAAUCCAUUUGAAAGGAGUGGCUGAGAAUUCUCUCUGUUCAGUCAUCUAGACAACAUCGAAUUACUUGAUGUUUGCCUUGAAAGAAUCAACUUCUAACCUCAACCAUCCAGGAAAUUGACAGUGGCUGCAGUAUUGACUCCAGUGACAUAAAGUUAAC